This 282-nucleotide long non-coding RNA is filed under the name Lathyrus oleraceus (garden pea). Its description in RNAcentral is "Pisum sativum (pea) long non-coding RNA (PSAT_LNC006846)". Lineage: Eukaryota; Viridiplantae; Streptophyta; Magnoliopsida; Fabales; Fabaceae. The record is from RNAcentral.
UUUACUCUGCUGAGAUUUUUAUUCUCAAAUGUUUUAAUAUAUAUUCAAAACAAAAUCUAACAUUUAUUUAAAUAAAAUAUUGUAUAUUUUAAAACAAGUAAUAUAUAUAUAAUGUUUUAAAAUAUUUGGACAGAAAUAUAAUAUUUCUUCCAAUUGUGUUUUUCUUACACUCUUACGUUCGUGGUUUCAGACUCCCUAAAACACAUCGAUAAAGAUACAACUUUUUGUCUCAAUAAAAAAAAGUCAAUGAACUAAUUAAGUCAUAUAGUUCUUCUAUCAAAU